Rhipicephalus sanguineus (brown dog tick) is the source of this 578-nucleotide long non-coding RNA. RefSeq lists it as uncharacterized. The transcript has 2 exons. The record is from RefSeq and is a predicted model, not a curated record. Lineage: Eukaryota; Metazoa; Arthropoda; Arachnida; Ixodida; Ixodidae.
AUCUUCCGCAUGAUUGUCGCUUUAGGCGUAAGUCUCGUUGUUUUGUCCAUGGUGCUAGACGAAGGCACGUUUGGUGCCAAUGCAGAACCUAAAGUGUCAUUUAGACCUCGCCCUGUAAAUGUCCCCAGACCAAAACCCAGACCGGUGGCUACUAAACCUGCGCCACCCAAGAAACCUGUGAAACCAGCUUCACCUGCUAAACCUGCUGGAUCUGCUAAACCUUCUGCAGUUGCUAAAGCACCCGCAUCUACUCCUCAUUCUCCUGAAGCUGUUCCACCUUCUGAAUCUUCCAAACCGUCUAGAUUUACAAGCACAGAUGCUGAGGAAUGCUGAUGAUUUGCAGCACUGCUACAUUCCAAGAUAAGUACGAAGACAAUGUUCAUUUAGAAUCUAAGAACGGGCUUCAUCGAACAUCUGCUGCUGGAGAACAUGAUGGGAAACGAUGACUAGGAACACCCUGCCCUAAAUACUUUCCUAAAAUAUGCUACAUAAUAUGUAUGACAAAUAUUGCUGGAAAGAGAAAUAUUAAGGCGCAGAUACUAGCGACGAAAAUUCUAAAUAAAGUUACCUUUCAUCUC